This 477-nucleotide ribosomal RNA is filed under the name uncultured bacterium. RNAcentral's name for it is "bacterial SSU rRNA". It matches the Rfam family "Bacterial small subunit ribosomal RNA", at positions 31 to 507 of the family's 1533-position model. The record is from RNAcentral.
GAACGCUGGCGGCGUGCCUAACACAUGCAAGUCGAGCGAGAAGCUGAUGACUGAUUCUUCGGAUGAGAGAUUCAGUGGAAAGCGGCGGACGGGUGAGUAACGCGUAGGCAACCUGCCCUUUGCAGAGGGAUAGCCAUUGGAAACGAUGAUUAAAACCUCAUAAUACCUUUUUCCUGCAUAGGAGAGAGGUCAAAGAUUUAUCGGCAAAGGAUGGGCCUGCGUCUGAUUAGCUAGUUGGUGAGGUAACAGCCCACCAAGGCGACGAUCAGUAGCCGGACUGAGAGGUUGAACGGCCACAUUGGGACUGAGAUACGGCCCAGACUCCUACGGGAGGCAGCAGUGGGGAAUAUUGGGCAAUGGGCGCAAGCCUGACCCAGCAACGCCGCGUGAAGGAAGAAGGCUUUCGGGUUGUAAACUUCUUUUGUCAGGGAAGAUGAACAGACUGUACCUGACGAAUAAGCCACGGCUAACUACGUG